Molecule: ribosomal RNA, 37 nt
Filed under: Lessingia ramulosa
Lineage: Eukaryota; Viridiplantae; Streptophyta; Magnoliopsida; Asterales; Asteraceae
Also listed under: 1 other name
Description: partial 26S ribosomal RNA
Source: RNAcentral
GCGACCCCAGGUCAGGCGGGACUACCCGCUGAGUUAA